This 445-nucleotide ribosomal RNA is filed under the name uncultured bacterium. RNAcentral describes it as "bacterial SSU rRNA". It matches the Rfam family "Bacterial small subunit ribosomal RNA", at positions 29 to 506 of the family's 1533-position model. The record is from RNAcentral.
ACGAACGCUGGCGGCAGGCUUAACACAUGCAAGUCGAGCGGACCCUUCGGGGUCAGCGGCGGACGGGUGAGUAACGCGUGGGAACGUGCCCUUAUCUUCGGAAUAGCCCUGGGAAACCGGGAGUAAUGCCGGAUACGCCGAGCCAUAGCGAUAUGGUUUGGGAAAGAUUUAUCGGAGAGGGAUCGGCCCGCGUUGGAUUAGGUAGUUGGUGGGGUAACGGCCUACCAAGCCGACGAUCCAUAGCUGGUUUGAGAGGAUGAUCAGCCACACUGGGACUGAGACACGGCCCAGACUCCUACGGGAGGCAGCAGUGGGGAAUCUUGGACAAUGGGGGCAACCCUGAUCCAGCCAUGCCGCGUGAGCGAUGAAGGCCUUAGGGUUGUAAAGCUCUUUCAGCGGGGAAGAUAAUGACGGUACCCGCAGAAGAAGCCCCGGCUAACUCCGU